UUGCCAGACUCCUACGGGAGGCAGCAGUGGGGAAUAUUGCACAAUGGGGGAAACCCUGAUGCAGCAACGCCGCGUGAGUGAAGAAGUAUUUCGGUAUGUAAAGCUCUAUCAGCAGGGAAGAGAAUGACGGUACCUGACUAAGAAGCCCCGGCUAACUACGUGCCAGCAGCCGCGGUAAUACGUAGGUGGCGAGCGUUGUCCGGAUUUACUGGGCGUAAAGGGAGCGUAGGCGGACUUUUAAGUGAGAUGUGAAAUACUCGGGCUCGACUUGAGUGCUGCAUUUCAAACUGGAAGUCUAGAGUGCAGGAGAGGAGAAUGGAAUUCCUAGUGUAGCGGUGAAAUGCGUAGAGAUUAGGAAGAACACCAGUGGCGAAGGCGAUUCUCUGGACUGUAACUGACGCUGAGGCUCGAAAGCGUGGGGAGCAAACAGGAUUAGAUACCCCGGUAA
RNAcentral lists this ribosomal RNA (448 nucleotides) under uncultured bacterium. RNAcentral's name for it is "bacterial SSU rRNA". It matches the Rfam family "Bacterial small subunit ribosomal RNA", at positions 328 to 793 of the family's 1533-position model. The record is from RNAcentral.